UUUCUUUAAGAACGGAAUUAAAAGUGCGCCGGCGGCUGUGUCUGUCCUUGUCCACUUGUGAAAGCAUUACAAUACGUGCUAACUGGGGAUGGUAGGCUUGAUUUCAGUGAGCCAACAUCGACACCUUGUGUUUUGGCGAUCGGAGACGUGCCAUUGUGGAGUCGGCACAGCGCGUCAUCCUUUUCCAUUGCAUGCCUCCAUCUUUACAUCUUUCCUCAAGCCUAAACUCGUAACAGGAUGAAAGUGGAUCGACUUCCCCUGACCCUAUGCCUCCUCUGUACAGGUGGCGGUAUCUUUGGAGUACUGAAGUCCAGCAAGUAAAGCAAGACUGCUUCUAUGAUGGAAUCACUAUUUAAUCUUCUAAAACUACUUCUACUAAUAAAUGAACACUUAAUUUCAUUACGUUUUGGUUUAUAGCGUGAAAUAAAAACAGCUAAUUGCAUGUGAAUGUUUUUCCAUCCAUCCAUCCAUCCGUUUUCGGUCCCGCUGAUCCUCACAAGGGUCACGGGCGUGCUGGAGCCUAUCCCAGCCAUCUUCGGGCGAGAGGCGGGGUACACUCUGAACCGGUCGCUGGCCAAUCGCAGGGAAAACAACCAUUCACGCUCACAUUCACAACUACAGGCAUUAGAGGCUUCAAUCAACCUACCACGCAUGUUUCGGGGAUGUGGAGGAAACCGGAGUACCCAACCACGCAGGCACGGGGAGAACAUGCACACUCCACAUAGGCGAGUCCGGGAUUUGAACCCCUGUCCUCAGAAGUGUGAGGCAGAUGUGCUAAUCCACCAUGCCGCCAAUGUUUAAAAAAAAAAAAAAAAAAAUCUUAAAUACGAGUCUGCCAUACAUUAUUCGGCAUGACAUUUUGUCUGCUAUUAACGGCGAAGCUGAGCUAGCAGGCUGAAGUCCAGGUGUACAUGACAAAGGGCUGGUUCAUUUCAUGAUGUGAGCACACUAUGGUGUUUUGGAAAUUAAAUCAGGAAACAAUUGUCAUUUGCAAUUUUAAUAUCUUUGCAGAGAGCGUCAGGAGAGGUUGCAAUUGCUUCACAUUUCUGCUAGUUAUCUUGUCCUUGAGAGAAAAGGGAGGUUGGUCCAACCACCGAGGCAGGAUGACAGAAGGGAAGAAACAAGAUAAAAAGAACAACGAAAAGUUUUCAUCAAUGAAAACCAAAGCCAGCCGUUCAAAGUCCCUACGGUUGCUCUGAUAUGGUCUUCUUCGCCAUUCACCCGAACCGGGAGGUUUUCCCGAAUGCGGAAGUAGGUUGCACAUAUACCGGAUUGACACCCACAGAAGAACGAGGAAGGACAAUAUAUUAGCGAGAACGUUCUCCGGGAGGCCGUGGAACGUACCGCUGCCCUCGGAGGCGAACUCCCUCAUGUCCAGCUCUUUGAGGGGGAAGUCGACGUACGUGGACAGCUUGCUGGCUCGGACGUUGGAGUCAGAGAAACGCUUCAGGUCUGGAGGGGGGCGGCCAGUCAAGUCAGCUCAACUCACUUCGACAUGAUUCUUUGGCACCGAAGCACUACUUUGUCUAAAUGAAGCUCCUCCCGUACUUCAUCAUAGUUUCUUGACCGCAAAAUGCCACAAGAUGGCAACAAAGCACUAAUUUUGUUCCUUGAUACCAGGAUGUCAGGUUUUCAGCAUACUUUCAGCAUUUUUAUUUUAUUUUAAUUUUUUAAUUGCAAAGGAUACGAAGCACAAGUAUCUGAGGGAACUUCUGAAUGCUGAAUCGUUUGGUGCAUUUCUGCCUGGUUUUGCAUCUGUUGCAAGUCUGCGUGGGAGAGAGACAACAAGUCAGUGAGACGACCUUUCUUUCCAAACCAACCACAAAAACGAGGCGUCCAGGUCUUACCGGCCUCUCGUCUCCGUCCAACACAUCCUCCUUGGUGAAGACCCUCAGGCAAUCUUUCAGGGUCACCUCGCCUGAGGUCUUCUGUGGACACAAUGCACGUGAGAAAACAUUGUCGUGGGCUUA
Long non-coding RNA from Phycodurus eques (leafy seadragon), 1970 nucleotides. RefSeq lists it as uncharacterized. Lineage: Eukaryota; Metazoa; Chordata; Actinopteri; Syngnathiformes; Syngnathidae. The transcript is spliced from 7 exons. The record is from RefSeq and is a predicted model, not a curated record.